This 460-nucleotide ribosomal RNA is filed under the name uncultured bacterium. RNAcentral describes it as "partial 16S ribosomal RNA". It matches the Rfam family "Bacterial small subunit ribosomal RNA", at positions 338 to 795 of the family's 1533-position model. The record is from RNAcentral.
CCUACGGGUGGCCGCAGUGAGGAAUAUUGGUCAAUGGGCGUAAUCCUGAACCAGCCAAGUCGCGUGCGUGAUGACGGUUCUAUGAAUUGUAAACCUCUUUUGUACCGGAGUAAAGUGCCUUACUUGUCCCGUUUUGUAUGUACCUUAUGAAUAAGGAUCGGCUAACUCCGUGCCCGCAGCCGCGGGAAUACGGAGGAUCCGAGCGUUAUCCGGAUUUAUUGGGUUUAAAGGGUGCGUAGGGUGCUUUUUAAGUCAGCGGUGAAAUACUGUGGCUAAACAAGAGGGGUGCCGUUAAUACUGUAGGACUAGAGUAUGUAUGAGGCAGGCGGAAUGUGUGGUGUAGCGGGGAAAUGCCUAGAUAUUACACAGAACACCGAUUGCGAAGGCAGCCUGCUAGGCCAGGACUGACGCUGAUGCACGAAAGCGUGGGGAUCAAACAGGAUUAGAUACCCCAGUAGUC